Non-coding RNA from Nothobranchius furzeri (turquoise killifish), 1759 nucleotides. The record is from RefSeq and is a predicted model, not a curated record. Lineage: Eukaryota; Metazoa; Chordata; Actinopteri; Cyprinodontiformes; Nothobranchiidae.
AUGUGAAAUUGUGCUUCGUGCAACAUAAUUCUGGGUGCCAUUUACAAACCAUUAGUGCUAAUGACUCCAUUCCUUCUUGUGGUUGUAGGGGCUGUUGAUUGGAGUACUCUAAAACAAACCUGACCUCUCUAGGAUAUUCAGAAGCAAAGUUAUGAGCCCACAAAGGUGUAACUGGACUACUUCUUUAAAGAGCAAGUAACGUCUAAAUUAACUUUUUUUUUGCUGAUGAACUGUAUAAAUGAGUGUCUAAUAGUGUUUUAAAUGUGUGUAUUAAUUAUUUUAGCAUUUUGGUGCAUUUUCUUUAAAAAUUAAAAAUUCUGCCUAAAUACCACAGUAUAGCUCCACCUUCAGCUUAAAACAUAGAAUUUGACUCUUUUUGAAUACAUUUUAGCCAAUGGCUAAAGAGUAAGAUACUACGUAAACCAGUAGAGUACUACGUAGCAGCUCUGUGUCAACGUUAUAAAAGCAUCGGGAGUCUCGGCCACGCCUUGUGGCGAGUUGGGAGUUGGAUUUGCAAGCGAAUGUAGGAGGUUAGCCAUAGUUCAGCAUUAGCAUAUAGCAUUAGCAUAUCCUAGUCUUUAGCAUAGCUUUUAGUGUUAUACAUACUUAUUUAGUGUUAGCUUGGCUGUUGGAUAUUGUACUUUAGUUACUGUUUGGCUGUUAGUGUAAUUAGGAAAGUAGUUCAGGUUUAGUGCUCCAUAUCGUGUUAGCAUGGUGAGAUGGUGUAGUGUAGUAUGGUUGCGGAGCUCUGUCGGGUUGCACUCCUUUCCGCUGGACUUAGAAAUUAGGUGCCAGUGGUUGCGUGUCUGGAAAAGAUUCAGCUCCCGCCUGGUGCUGUAGUUUGCAACCAGCAUUUUACCCGCGAUUCUUCACGUCUCCGUUCCAAGAGGGAGGCUGUGCCCACCGUGGCUCUUCCGCGAUUUAGAUACAGCCCACCGACUCUGCUCCCCCACCAUGACGGGCUACAGUCUGAGGCUAAAUCUACCCAAGACAUUGGCUGUCAGACUGAUUUAGUAAUCUGCAAGAAUGCACUUGUCCAGGCUGACGUGGUGUUACCCGUAGCAAAGAGCUCACAGCCGCAGUGUGUCUUGUGACACAGGGACCAUGACGGAAAUUCAUCUUCCAGAAGGUCCCAGAGCAGCAUCCACACCUCCUGAAAAGGCCAAGAUGUGAGGUGUCUGCUGUUGAUUCCAGCUUCCACCUCAGUGACAGUGCAAGCUCAGUGAACUGUUCAAGGUAAAAAAAAAUUAAAACAUUUCUGAAUUUUUAAGACAUUAACAAUUAAAUAAGUAUGUGAUUACAUCAUGACAUCAUGAAGGUGUCACGAUCUGCCCCUACCCGCCUGACUGUGUUCCUCUCCUGCCAUGAUUACCCUUAUUGUUCUCACCUGUCCCUCGUUUACCUGCCCAUGUUUCCCUAAUUAGCCCUCUGUAUUUAAACCACCUGUUUUGCCCCUGUCCUUUGUCAGUUCAUUGCUGUUGCUGUCUGCUGGUGUUCCUGUUCAUCCCAUACUGCCAUUAAACCAUUUUUACUUUUUCUGAAGCCUGCAUUUUUACCUCCUGCUCAGCUCAACCACACAUGGUCCAUCAUCUCCACCUCCUACACCGUGACAGAAGGAGGCUACUGAUUCUGGCCCUGUGACACUUGGUGGUGACGUGUGAGCUGAUUCACCUGGACACUCAGCAAAAUAUGGACUCUACACCAUGAGGCAGGCACACGUUAAUACUCUAUAAGAGCACAUAAGGUGAGCAACACCACA